AUGGUUUUCCAACAUAAAAACCACCAAAAAAUCGACCAAAAUGGCUGUUCGGUUUCCUUAACAGUCGUAUAUUAACAUUAUGAAUUUCUAUGAAACGAAGAAUCGGACUGGCAAAAACCAGCGU
Molecule: non-coding RNA, 124 nt
Organism: Dermatophagoides farinae (American house dust mite)
Lineage: Eukaryota; Metazoa; Arthropoda; Arachnida; Sarcoptiformes; Pyroglyphidae
Source: RefSeq, a predicted model, not a curated record